This 86-nucleotide transfer RNA is filed under the name Ophiobolus disseminans. It matches the Rfam family "tRNA". From Rfam's summary of the family: Transfer RNA (tRNA) molecules are approximately 80 nucleotides in length. Lineage: Eukaryota; Fungi; Ascomycota; Dothideomycetes; Pleosporales; Phaeosphaeriaceae. The record is from Rfam by way of RNAcentral.
GCGACGAUAGUUUAGGGGUAGAAUUCAAGCUUCCCAUGUCAUUGCAUAGUCUGCUUGAGGUCCGAGUUCGAGUCUCGGUCGUCGCA